AAAGUUGAAAACGUUAAAACAAAACGUGGUUGUGGUGGAGACCAGUCAAAAUGAGAGGUCAUGGCAUGCAAUCAGGACCCGUGAAGAGAGGGUGCCUGCUUGCCUGCUACUACUCUACCACACUAUACUAAAAUUAAGUGUGUCUUUCACUUCAUCAUGUAUUCACGUCGUCUCUUCUCUAUCUCUCUGUGCCUCUCUGAUUUGACACCCUGGAAUGAAAUGGACUAUAUUAUCCUCUGCUUCAUGUCAUAUUUUCUAUCACCAUUCACCAACCUACCCUUUUCCAGCGUUUAUAUUUUUGAAUUCUGCCACAGAAAAAAUGGUACCAAUUUAUGGCUUUUGCAUGGGACCAAACUGCCCUAUUUGGCUUCAUAAGUGUUUACGUCUUUCCUAAAUUAGAGGGGAGUACUAUAAUUCAGUGAAAUGGAGUUUUGUGAUUUGCAAUAAAGGCGUUCUUUUUAGGUGGAAAUGAUGUUGAAAAAUUAAAGUUCUCACUUUUAUACAAUGCUUGUGUAGUUGCGUGGCUGCUGUUGUAUCUCCAGCCCACUCAACUCGUGAAGACACCAAAAAAAAAAAAAAAAAAAAGCGUAAUGGGUCUGAUGGUGUUGACGACGACCUCGAGGAAAUGGGUUUGAGGCGUGAGGAGGUAAAAGGGAGUUGGUUUGACGAUUAUAUCCCUUAUAAAUGGGCACGUGAUCUCACGUCACAAGAUUUAACAAUUUUUUUUGACGGAAAGUCGUAGUAUGGACUAUUUAAGAGCACUCAUAUUGAUGUUAG
RNAcentral lists this long non-coding RNA (777 nucleotides) under Prunus persica (peach). RNAcentral describes it as "long non-coding RNA (PPER_LNC004201)". Lineage: Eukaryota; Viridiplantae; Streptophyta; Magnoliopsida; Rosales; Rosaceae. The record is from RNAcentral.